AGCGAACGCUGGCGGCAGGCUUAACACAUGCAAGUCGAGCGGGCACUUUCGGGUGUCAGCGGCGGACGGGUGAGGAACGCGUGGGAACGUGCCCUCUGGUUCGGAAUAACUCAGGGAAACUUGAGCUAAUACCGGAUACGCCCUUUUGGGGAAAGGCUUGCUGCCGGAGGAUCGGCCCGCGUCGGAUUAGCUAGUUGGUGAGGUAACGGCUCACCAAGGCGACGAUCAGGAGCUGGUCUGAGAGGAUGAUCCGCCACACUGGGACUGAGCCACGGCCCAGACUCCUACGGGAGGCCGCAGUGGGGAAUAUUGGACAAUGGGCGCAAGCCUGAUCCAGCCCUGCCGCGUGAGUGAUGAAGGCCUUAGGGUUGUAAAGCUCUUUUAUCCGGGACGAUAAUGACGGUACCGGAGGAAUAAGCCCCGGCUAACUUCGUG
Molecule: ribosomal RNA, 435 nt
Filed under: uncultured bacterium
Lineage: Bacteria
Description: partial 16S ribosomal RNA
Rfam family: Bacterial small subunit ribosomal RNA
Source: RNAcentral